GACGAACGCUGGCGGCGUGCUUAACACAUGCAAGUCGAACGGAAAGGCCCUGCUUUUGUGGGGUGCUCGAGUGGCGAACGGGUGAGUAACACGUGAGUAACCUGCCCUUGACUUUGGGAUAACUUCAGGAAACUGGGGCUAAUACCGGAUAGGAGCUCCUGCUGCAUGGUGGGGGUUGGAAAGUUUCGGCGGUUGGGGAUGGACUCGCGGCUUAUCAGCUUGUUGGUGGGGUAGUGGCUUACCACGGCUUUGACGGGUAGCCGGCCUGAGAGGGUGACCGGCCACAUUGGGACUGAGAUACGGCCCAGACUCCUACGGGAGGCAGCAGUGGGGAAUAUUGCACAAUGGGCGGAAGCCUGAUGCAGCAACGCCGCGUGCGGGAUGACGGCCUUCGGGUUGUAAACCGCUUUCGCCUGUGACGAAGCGUGAGUGACGGUACUGGGUAAAGAAGCACCGGCUAACUACGUG
This 468-nucleotide ribosomal RNA is filed under the name uncultured bacterium. RNAcentral describes it as "partial 16S ribosomal RNA". It matches the Rfam family "Bacterial small subunit ribosomal RNA", at positions 28 to 507 of the family's 1533-position model. The record is from RNAcentral.